GGGAGAUUUUCCAGCGUAGCUGACCGGCCGCCAUCUUGCUACAGUCAACAGUUACUCUGAUUCGCGUUAUGGUAGCUGUUGUAAGAAGUACCUGACUAUGCCGGACUUUUGUGCAGCCUACGGAUGCUCUAAUCACCGCAGUCUGCAAACAAGAAUCCGUGGGAUCACCUUUCACGUGUUUCCCAAAACCGAAGAGAGGAGGAGGCAGUGGGAACUCGCCCUAAGAAGGGACAUCUUCAGGUUCCAUGAGACGCAGCACUAUGUUCCCCACAUAUGUUUAUGUUUGCUCAGUCUAAUAAACCCAUAACAUGGUUGUGAAAGAAUACCAAA
Gymnodraco acuticeps is the source of this 330-nucleotide long non-coding RNA. RefSeq lists it as uncharacterized. The transcript is spliced from 3 exons. The record is from RefSeq and is a predicted model, not a curated record. NCBI's taxonomy places the organism in Eukaryota, Metazoa, Chordata, Actinopteri, Perciformes, Bathydraconidae.